GCAACGCUGCGGUGAAUACGUUCCCGGGCCUUGUACACACCGCCCGUCACACCAUGGGAGUUUGUUGCACCAGAAGCAGGUAGCUUAACCUUCGGGAGGGCGCUUGCCACGGUGUGGCCGAUGACUGGGGUGAAGUCGUAACAAGGUAGCCGUACCGGAAGGUGCGGCUGGAUCACCUCCUUU
RNAcentral lists this ribosomal RNA (183 nucleotides) under Mycobacterium tuberculosis. RNAcentral's name for it is "partial 16S ribosomal RNA". It matches the Rfam family "Bacterial small subunit ribosomal RNA", at positions 1352 to 1533 of the family's 1533-position model. Lineage: Bacteria; Bacillati; Actinomycetota; Actinomycetes; Mycobacteriales; Mycobacteriaceae. The record is from RNAcentral.